AAGAGUUCCAGGGGAGAGCCGAGUUGAUCAAGCCUGGUGAAAAGUACACAUGGUCUGGGACUCUGUCUCUCACGAUGCGUGUCUAUGUUAUGAAUGAUAAGUUGCAGUGUGAUGACAGAGGAUGCUUUACUGGUCCCACUGCAGGCUCUGAGAAUGUCUACACAAUAUCAGAGUAUUUUAAAAAGUUGGACUACGUCUCUCCUGAUGCGCGUUUAUGUUAUGAAUGAUGCGGUGCAGUGUAGUGACAGAGGAUGCUUUACAGGUCCUACUGCAGGCUCUGAGAAUGUCUACACAAUAUCAAAGUAUUUUAAAAAGUUGGAC
Paramuricea clavata is the source of this 321-nucleotide non-coding RNA. The record is from the annotation of a GenBank genome assembly. NCBI's taxonomy places the organism in Eukaryota, Metazoa, Cnidaria, Anthozoa, Malacalcyonacea, Plexauridae.